RNAcentral lists this ribosomal RNA (266 nucleotides) under uncultured bacterium. RNAcentral describes it as "partial 16S ribosomal RNA". It matches the Rfam family "Bacterial small subunit ribosomal RNA", at positions 57 to 305 of the family's 1533-position model. The record is from RNAcentral.
GCAAGUCGCACGAGAACGCUUCAGCUUGCUGAAGUUAGUAAAGUGGCGCACGGGUGAGUAACGCGUGGGUAAUCUACCUCCGGAUCGGGGAUAACAUUGCGAAAGCGAUGCUAAUACCGGAUAAUACCUCUUGAACCCGGUUUUCGAGAUCAAGGUUGCCUCUCCUUGGAAGCUUCUGUUUGAGGAUGAGCCCGCGUACCAUUAGCUUGUUGGUAGGGUAACGGCCUACCAAGGCUGCGAUGGUUAGCUGGUCUGAGAGGAUGAUC